This 464-nucleotide ribosomal RNA is filed under the name uncultured bacterium. RNAcentral's name for it is "partial 16S ribosomal RNA". It matches the Rfam family "Bacterial small subunit ribosomal RNA", at positions 29 to 507 of the family's 1533-position model. The record is from RNAcentral.
ACGAACGCUGGCGGCGUGCUUAACACCUGCAAGUCGAACGGAAAGGCCCCUUUGGGGGUACUCGAGUGGCGAACGGGUGAGUAACACGUGAGUAACCUGCCCUUGACUUCGGGAUAACUUCAGGAAACUGGGGCUAAUACCGGAUAGGAAUCCUUGCUGCAUGGUGGGGGUUGGAAAGCUUCGGCGGUUUUGGAUGGACUCGCGGCUUAUCAGCUUGUUGGUGGGGUAGUGGCUUACCAAGGCUUUGACGGGUAGCCGGCCUGAGAGGGCGACCGGCCACAUUGGGACUGAGAUACGGCCCAGACUCCUACGGGAGGCAGCAGUGGGGAAUAUUGCACAAUGGGCGGAAGCCUGAUGCAGCAACGCCGCGGGCGGGAUGACGGCCUUCGGGUUGGAAACCGCUUUCAGCAGGGGCGAAGCUUGUGGUGACGGUACCUGCAGAAGAAGCACCGGCUAACUACGUG